CAGUAGCCGCGGGAAUACGAAGGGGGCUAGCGUUGUUCGGAUUUACUGGGCGUAAAGGGCGCGUAGGCGGACUGAUAAGUCAGGGGUGAAAUCCCAAGGCUCAACCUUGGAACUGCCUUUGAUACUGUUUGUCUUGAGUUCGAGAGAGGUAAGUGGAACUGCGAGUGUAGAGGUGAAAUUCGUAGAUAUUCGCAAGAACACCAGUGGCGAAGGCGGCUUACUGGCUCGAAACUGACGCUGAGGCGCGAAAGCGUGGGGAGCAAACAGGAUUAGAUACCCGGGUAGUCCCUGUCUCUUAUAC
This 301-nucleotide ribosomal RNA is filed under the name uncultured bacterium. Its description in RNAcentral is "partial 16S ribosomal RNA". It matches the Rfam family "Bacterial small subunit ribosomal RNA", at positions 509 to 807 of the family's 1533-position model. The record is from RNAcentral.